UGAGGAGUGAGACCGGGUACGCCCCGGGA
RNAcentral lists this non-coding RNA (29 nucleotides) under Homo sapiens (human). Lineage: Eukaryota; Metazoa; Chordata; Mammalia; Primates; Hominidae. The record is from RNAcentral.